This 69-nucleotide transfer RNA is filed under the name Panthera leo (lion). RNAcentral's name for it is "tRNA-Gly". Lineage: Eukaryota; Metazoa; Chordata; Mammalia; Carnivora; Felidae. The record is from RNAcentral.
AUUCCUUUAGUAUCAACAAGUACAGCUGACUUCCAAUCAGCCAGUUUCGGUAGAAUCCGAAANGGAAUA